AACGAACGCUGGCGGCGCGUCUUAAGCAUGCAAGUCGAACGGUAAGAAGGAGCUUGCUUCUUCCUAGAGUGGCGGACUGGUGAGUAACGCGUGGAUGACGUACCCUUUUGACGGGGAUAGCCGAUAGAAAUAUCAGAUAAUACCGGAUAAUCUCUUUUGGGGUAAAGACGAAAGAGGAAAGCAGCUUCGGCUGCGCAGGAGGAACGGUCCGCGUCCUAUCAGCUAGUCGGCAGGGUAAAGGCCUGCCGAGGCGACGACGGGUAUCCGGCCUGAGAGGGUGGACGGACACAUUGGGACUGAGAUACGGCCCAGACUCCUACGGGAGGCAGCAGCUAAGAAUAUUCCGCAAUGGACGAAAGUCUGACGGAGCGACGCCGCGUGGACGAUGAAGGCCGGAAGGUUGUAAAGUCCUUUUAUCCGUGAAGAAGAAGCGUAAGAGGAAAUGCUUGCGUGGUGACGGUAGCGGAUGAAUAACACCGGCUAAUUAAC
RNAcentral lists this ribosomal RNA (489 nucleotides) under Treponema sp. oral taxon 265. Its description in RNAcentral is "bacterial SSU rRNA". It matches the Rfam family "Bacterial small subunit ribosomal RNA", at positions 29 to 505 of the family's 1533-position model. Lineage: Bacteria; Pseudomonadati; Spirochaetota; Spirochaetia; Treponematales; Treponemataceae. The record is from RNAcentral.